CGUUGCAAACGAUCUACUUCAAAUUUCUACCACGAGAGGCCCGUGCCAGAUUCCCAUCGUAGACCUUCACCCAAGCUUCCAUUAUGGAUGGAUUUCGUUCGGAUGUCCAUUGUAGACCGGCAUUGGCCGAGACUCCUCGAUAAAUGAUCCCUGUCCGAGCUUCUAUGGAGAUCGUACUCCAAUCGGACUUCGACCGAUAGGUCUGGACCCUCUAGAGGGCCGCA
Molecule: long non-coding RNA, 224 nt
Filed under: Elaeis guineensis (African oil palm)
Lineage: Eukaryota; Viridiplantae; Streptophyta; Magnoliopsida; Arecales; Arecaceae
Description: long non-coding RNA (EGUI_LNC066342)
Source: RNAcentral